AGCGAACGUUUGCGGCGGGCCUAACGACAUGCAAGUCGAACGCACUAGCAAUAGUGAGUGGCGCACGGGUGCGUAACACGUGGGUAAUCAACCCUUCAGCCUGGGAUAACGACUCGAAAGGGUCGCUAAUACCGGAUACGGCGCGAGAGGCUUCGGCUUCUCACGAGAAAGCCACGCAAGGGGGCACUGAAGGACGAGCCUGCGGCCCAUCAGCUAGUUGGUGAGGUAGAGCUCACCAAGGCUAAGACGGGUAGCUGGUCUGAGAGGAUGAUCAGCCACACUGGAACUGAGACACGGUCCAGACUCCUACGGGAGGCAGCAGUGGGGGAAUAUUGCGCAAUGGGCGAAAGCCUGACGCAGUCACGCCGCGUGAGCGAUGAAGGCCU
Molecule: ribosomal RNA, 386 nt
Filed under: uncultured bacterium
Lineage: Bacteria
Description: bacterial SSU rRNA
Rfam family: Bacterial small subunit ribosomal RNA
Source: RNAcentral